This is a small nucleolar RNA of Pipistrellus kuhlii (Kuhl's pipistrelle), 132 nucleotides long. RefSeq annotates it as small nucleolar RNA SNORA5. The transcript has a single exon. Lineage: Eukaryota; Metazoa; Chordata; Mammalia; Chiroptera; Vespertilionidae. The record is from RefSeq and is a predicted model, not a curated record.
CGCAGCCGUGUGAGAUUCAGUGCCCGCCCAAUCAUGGCAGGUACUGGCCCAGGAGGCUGCCAUAGACCAGUGUUUCCCAACCUUCUCUCAUGAUGAGAAUCACCUGGUGGAGUUGUUAAAACACAGAUUCCC